This 1055-nucleotide long non-coding RNA is filed under the name Salmo salar (Atlantic salmon). RNAcentral describes it as "lncRNA (ENSSSAG00000087347.1)". Lineage: Eukaryota; Metazoa; Chordata; Actinopteri; Salmoniformes; Salmonidae. The record is from RNAcentral.
CGGUCGGAAUAUUAUCGCUUUUUUACGAGAAAAAUGGCAUAAAAAUUGAUUUUAAACAGCGGUUGACAUGCUUCGAAGUACGGUAAUGGAAUAUUUCGAUUUUUUUUGUCACGAAUUGCACCACGCGCGUUACCAUUUCAGAUAGUGUCUGGGACGCACGAACAAAACGCCGCUAUUCGGAUAUAACGAUGGAUUAUUUUGUACCAAACCAACAUUUGUUAUUGAAGUAGCAGUCCUGGGAGUGCAUUCUGACGAAGACAACAAAAGGACCUGAGCCCUAGGACCAUGCCUCAGGACUACCUGGCAUGAUGACUGCUUGCUGUCCCCAGUCCACCUGGCCGUGCUGCUGCUCCAGUUUCAACUGUUCUGCCUGCGGCUAUGGAACCCUGACCUGUUCACCGGACGUGCUUGUUGCACCCUCGACAACUACUAUGAUUAUUAUUAUUUGACCAUGCUGGUCAUUUAUGAACAUUUUAACAUCUUGACCAUGUUCUGUUAUAAUAUCCACCCGGCACAGCCAGAAGAGGACUGGCCACCCCUCAUAGCCUGGUUCCUCUCUAGGUUUCUUCCUAGGUUUUUGGCCUUUCUAGGGAGUUUUUCCUAGGGAGUUUUUCCUAGCCACCGUGCUUCUUUCACAUGCAUUGCUUGCUGUUUGGGGUUUUAGGCUGGGUUUCUGUACAGCACUUUGAGAUAUCAGCUGAUGUACGAAGGGCUAUAUAAAUACAUUUGAUUUGAUUUGAUUUUGAUUUGGUCAUUUAUGAGGAGAAUCAUUAUAACAGUUGAUAAUAUAAAAAAAGAAGACAUCUAGGCUAAUUAAAAUGGGUCGGAUGCAGACCAAGCAGUUACAGUUUGAACCCGAUGCAUGGCCCAACAAUUGGCCGUGUCAUCACACAGUUCCAUGAUUAAUGCAGGCAGGAGAUGAGGGUACAGCCUACUAUUGUACACUAUUCUGCCUAUUACAAUUCUAUGUACACUAAUCUGUACUCUAGACAUUACCAUGGGUUGGAAACAAGGUUUUCCAUCCAUUCCCAUCCCCCCUAGCAACCAGGGAUGCU